GGCAGCAGCUAAGAAUAUUCCGCAAUGGACGAAAGUCUGACGGAGCGACGCCGCGUGGAUGAUGAAGGCCGGAAGGUUGUAAAAUCCUUUUAUGACUGAGGAAUAAGUUCUCUGAGAGAAACGGAGGAUGGUGACUGUAGGUCAUGAAUAAGCAACGGCUAAUUACGUGCCAGCAGCCGCGGUAACACGUAAGUUGCGAGCGUUGUUCGGAAUUAUUGGGCGUAAAGGGCAUGUAGGCGGUUAUGCAAGUCUGGUGUGAAAUGCCGGGGCUUAACCCCGGAACUGCGUUGGAAACUGCAUAACUUGAGUCGCUGAGGGGCAGCCAGAAUUCCAGGUGUAGGGGUGAAAUCUGUAGAUAUCUGGAAGAAUACCAAUGGCGAAGGCAGGCUGCCAGCAGAUGACUGACGCUGAGGUGCGAAGGUGCGGGGAGCAAACAGGAUUAGAUACCCUGGUAGUCCGCACAGUCAACUAUGUACACUAGGUGUCCGUUCAUGAGAAUGGGUGCCGAAGCAAACGCGAUAAGUGUACCGCCUGGGGAGUAUGCCCGCAAGGGUGAAACUCAAGGAAUUGACGG
This 574-nucleotide ribosomal RNA is filed under the name uncultured rumen bacterium. RNAcentral describes it as "bacterial SSU rRNA". It matches the Rfam family "Bacterial small subunit ribosomal RNA", at positions 347 to 916 of the family's 1533-position model. The record is from RNAcentral.